UCGACUUGUGUUGGCUUAGGACGCUCAAUUGACAAAUUUUCAGGAAUUUUGUGAGCCAUUUGUUAAACACAUCUAUUAUUAUUAUAAAUUAAACUAGGUAAGUCUUAUUUGAACUUAUAAUUAAACAAGUAUAUUAAAACAAAGACAAUCAAUACUUGAAACUCAUCACUUCCCUGGUAUUUGCUACUUUUUUCUAUAAUCUAUGCUAUGGAGGUUACUUACAACUAUUGUAGCUGUAGGGUGGUCUUGUGGGUUGAAUUGUGUCUCCCCAAACUCAUAUGUUAAAGUUUUAAUCCCCAGUCUCAGAAUGUGACCUUGUUUGGAAAUAGGGUUGUUGUAGGUGUAAUUAAUUAAAAUGAGGUCAUUAGGGUGGGCCCCUCAUCCAAUACGCCUGGUGUCUUUAUAAAAAGGGAAAAUUUGGACGCACACAGGAAGAAUACCAGGUGAACAUAAAGGCAGAGAUUGGGGUGAUGCUGCAGAAGCCAGGGGCUGCCAAAGAUGUCCAGCAAACCACCAGAAGCUAGGACAGAGUCACAGAGAGUCACGGAACAGAUUCUCCCUCACAGUCCUCAGGAGGAACCAACCCACUGACACCUUGACCUGGGACUUCCAGCCUCCAGAACCGUGAGAGAAUAAGUUUCUGUUGUGUAAGGCACCCCGUUUGAGAUAUUUUGUGAUGGCAGCCCCAGGAAAUGAACAUAGGCUGACAUACUAUAUUAUGCAAUGUGUGCUACAGGUCACGCCCUCUACCCGCCAACUCCUCAUUCUUUGACUUCACAUUGAUAGCUUGAAAUCAGCCACAGGGUGCCACAAAAUCUCGGUUUGAUUCAUUGUUUCUUUGAUUGUCCAGAAAAGGUGUUGGUGAACUACAACCUGGGGGCCAAAUCUGGGCCUCCACCUGUGUUUGUGCAAGUUCCAUUGGAGCACAGCUGUGCCCAUUCGUUCGUGUGUUGUCUGUGGUUGCUCCCACCCUGCAAUGGCAGAGUGGCGUAGUUGUGACAGAGACCGCGUGGCUCACAGAGUUGACAAUGUUUAUUAUCUAGCCUUUUGGAGUGAAAGUUUGCUGACCCUUGGCUUAGACUGAAGAAAGUGAUGGAGGCGAUGUCAAAAACACAGAGGAAACUUUACAAAUGUGACUGUCUGUAGCCAUUACCUUGUGAUAGGACAAAAAUUGAGAAAAUAUUCUUCCGGUAUUUGAAAACGAUUAUCUGACGCUGCAAAGUAGUGGCUCUUAUCUUUGAUGAAUGAGUGAAGUUCUGACAUAGAUUUUCAUCAUUUUGCUUAUCUCUUAUUUGUUUAUGCAAAUAAAAAAAUUAACCAACAUUCAUGUCAGAACUAUAAUUGUUUGUCAGUUGCAACCAGAGAUUGGCUGCAGAUACAAGAGUUUGUCAAAAAUCAAUGGAAGCCUCUGUGAGAAUCAAUCGGCGCUGUGGAAUUUAUUUGCCCGUACUGAAUAACAACAAAGCUUAUAGUAAACCUACGUGUCUAUACUAUACACACACGUUUCCUCCCCUGGAGAACCAGUGGUUGAACCUUUCCCAGCACACCACUUCCUCCAUCCUCCGUGCGGCACCCUCCGCUGAGCAGAGGUCACCCAGUUCACGGGUCUGUUGCAAUCUGACUUCGGCCUUGGCCUCCCCGCUGUGUAGAUUUGGCUUGUCUGAGAGAGUGCUGUUGGUGGGAGCAAUUGCAGUAGGAAAACUCAGUGUCACCAAGGAGCCCGGCCUGGCUAAAAUCUGCUCUAGGUUUGAUUCCGGGAGGAAGAUUUAAGGAAGUCUAGUUUGACACUCUGGCCCGCAGCCCCCAGGCCUCAGUCUGCUCUCUGCCUGCUGAGUUGGGCCCAGCACUGGUUACUGCGUGUGUGCCUUUGUCCUGAGUUUCAUUGAUGACCUUGGCAUAUCCAAGAUUAAUGAAGACGAAUCCGCGUCCUUACUACUAAGCAAAGAGCCUCCAAGCAAAUGAUUGUGGACCAGAGAGCUAUCUUCAUAGCCAUAAAAAGUACUUUUCAAAUAAGAGAUGUCAAAUGAGCCAAUUGCGUGCUAGAUACAGGAGACCACUAGUGCUCCCUAAAGUGCUGGGCUUCCUUGCUGUGUUAUUUAUUGAUGAACAUUGGGGAACCAGAGAUGACAAGAAGAAAG
This 2138-nucleotide long non-coding RNA is filed under the name Equus caballus (horse). RNAcentral's name for it is "lncRNA (ENSECAG00000059524.1)". Lineage: Eukaryota; Metazoa; Chordata; Mammalia; Perissodactyla; Equidae. The record is from RNAcentral.